CAUAUUUUGGUUGAUUUUUCUGCCCACUCAUCGACCCCAAAGAUCAGCUGAACCCAUCAUUACAGGGUCUGGUGACAUUUGAGAAUGUGGCUGUGUAUUUCUCCCAGGGGGAGUGUGGAGGCUCCUUAGUGUAACCCAGAGGCACCAGUACUGUGAUGUUGUGUCGGAGAACUUUCAGCUCAUUGGCUCGCUGGGUAAGUCCCUUACGCCCUCCCCCAGCAUACUGACCACCUGCUGCCUUUUCCCCUGAGAAGUUCUGUCCAUCCCAAAGCUGGACCACAGGAGCUGCCUUCUUCUCAGUGAUGUCAGCCCUGUAGCUACAAGAAGUCCGC
RNAcentral lists this long non-coding RNA (332 nucleotides) under Equus asinus (donkey). RNAcentral's name for it is "lncRNA (ENSEASG00005028337.1)". The record is from RNAcentral. Lineage: Eukaryota; Metazoa; Chordata; Mammalia; Perissodactyla; Equidae.